This 346-nucleotide ribosomal RNA is filed under the name uncultured Bacillus sp. RNAcentral's name for it is "bacterial SSU rRNA". It matches the Rfam family "Bacterial small subunit ribosomal RNA", at positions 32 to 373 of the family's 1533-position model. The record is from RNAcentral. Lineage: Bacteria; Bacillati; Bacillota; Bacilli; Caryophanales; Bacillaceae.
CGCGACGCUGGCGGCGUGCCUACAUGCAAGUCGAGCGGACAGAUGGGAGCUUGCUCCCUGAUGUUAGGCGGACGGGUGAGUAACACCUGGGUAACCUGCCUGUAAGACUGGGAUAACUCCGGGAACGGGGCUAAUACCGGAUGGUUGUUUGAACCGCAUGGUUCAAACAUAAAAGGUGGCUUCGGCUACCACUUACAGAUGGCCCCGCGGCGCAUUAGCUAGUGGGGGAGGAACGGGUUACCCAAGGAACGAAGCCUAACCCAACUGGAAAGGUGAUCGGCCACACUGGGACUGAAACACGGCCCAAACUCCUACGGGAGGCAACAGUAAGGAAUCUUCCGCAUUG